UACAGAGGUCUCAAGCGUUGUUCGGAUUUAUUGGGCGUAAAGGGUGCGUAGGCGGUGCGGUAAGUCGGGUGUGAAAUCUCGGGGCUUAACUCCGAAACUGCAUUCGAUACUGCCGUGCUUGAGGACUGGAGAGGAGACUGGAAUUUACGGUGUAGCGGUGAAAUGCGUAGAUAUCGUAAGGAAGACCAGUGGCGAAGGCGGGUCUCUGGACAGUUCCUGACGCUGAGGCACGAAGGCCAGGGGAGCAAACGGG
RNAcentral lists this ribosomal RNA (253 nucleotides) under uncultured bacterium. Its description in RNAcentral is "partial 16S ribosomal RNA". It matches the Rfam family "Bacterial small subunit ribosomal RNA", at positions 524 to 776 of the family's 1533-position model. The record is from RNAcentral.